RNAcentral lists this non-coding RNA (30 nucleotides) under Mus musculus (house mouse). The record is from RNAcentral. Lineage: Eukaryota; Metazoa; Chordata; Mammalia; Rodentia; Muridae.
UUGGCUGUUUAGCUGGGUGAAGAUAAUUGC